This 253-nucleotide ribosomal RNA is filed under the name uncultured bacterium. RNAcentral describes it as "partial 16S ribosomal RNA". It matches the Rfam family "Bacterial small subunit ribosomal RNA", at positions 524 to 776 of the family's 1533-position model. The record is from RNAcentral.
UACGGGGGGGGCAAGCGUUGUUCGGAAUUACUGGGCGUAAAGGGCUCGUAGGCGGCCAACUAAGUCAGACGUGAAAUCCCUCGGCUUAACCGGGGAACUGCAUCUGAUACUGGAUGGCUUGAGUUCGGGAGAGGGAUGCGGAAUUCCAGGUGUAGCGGUGAAAUGCGCAGAUAUCAGGAGGAACACCGGUGGCGAAGGCGGAUCUCUGGGCCUUACCUGACGCUCAGGCGCGAAAGCUAGGGGAGCGAACUGG